UUUUAUGCUGAAAGUUCUGUAUAGACUACUGGCGCAGUGGUAUAAUACCAGUCUAGUGAUAAUAAGGUAGUGGGUUCAAACCUAGUCGAAGAAACUUUUUCAGCGGUUUUAUUGUAGGGAAAAGCUUGCCUAAAUUAUUUUUGACGGAUUUUAUAAAUCGGUUGCAUAACAGACCUAUUUUUUUUUGAAUUCUAAUGUUUCUUAUUGUACUUUGAAUUAGUAAUUAAUUUAAUUUUAAAAGAAUUAUUAAUUGCGAUGGCAACCCUGAUAUCUAUCAAUAUUAAACAAAUUUGCUAUCCAGCCAAAUAUAGUGUUACAGACGACGAUAAUUUUAGAUUUUCGUCUGCAAUUUGUAUCAAUACUACCCAACAACAACAAACUCAUUGUUGUGCUGUAAAAUUUUACAGAGUAUUGGCACAGUGGUAUAAUACAAGGCUACCGAUGUAGAGGUAUUGGGUUCAAACCUGAACGAAGAAUGUUUUUCAGCGAUUUUAUUGUUGGGAAAAGCUUGCUUAAAAGAUUUUUUACUGGAUUUUCUAAAUCAAUUGCAUAACAGAUUUAUAUUUUUUGAAUUCUAAUGUUUCUUAUUGUAAUUUGAAUUAGUAAUUAAUUUAAUUUUAAAAGAAUUAGUCAUUGCUGUGGCAACCCUGAUAUCAAUAGUAAACAAAUUUACUAUCCAGCCAAAUAUAGUGUUACAGACGACGAUAAUUUUAGAUUUUCGUCUGCAUUUUGUAUCGAUACUAACCAACAACAGUCAAUAUUUUUUAACUUACUCAUCAGUUACCAACUUGAUUGGCAACAAGGAUCUGUGUUCGAUCUCAAUAAAUAACAUAACUUUUUAUUGCACAUUAGUCUGGGAAAAUGGUGAUUUUACAGUGGUAAUCGUUGAUAAUUUGAAGACAGCAAUUGCAUGACAAUGGUUCAGAGUUCAACUCCAGCGAUGGGUAUGAAUCUAUUCUUAAUGUUUUGUUUUUGACAAUACGCCAUCUAUUGAGUAUCGGAAAAACUACUUGGAAAGUAUCGAUACAACGAUAUAUCUAAAAAUAUCGACUAUCUAACAUUUAUCUAAAAAUAUCGAUAUAUCGUUAAAAAAAUUAGAUAGUCGCCAACACUACACAUGGCUAAGAAACUGAAUUUUAGUUAUUAUAGCUGCAAUUACAACAAAAGAUGCUAGAGCGAUUAAUAUCACGUCAAUCAUUUGGACUAUUAUGUGAAAAACUUUUAUAUGAAUGAACUCUUAUUGGAUAGUAUUAAGGGUCCUGUUGAGCUGAGAAACGUUUAUUGGAAACUCGGAAUAAUAAACUAACCUGGUCCACCAAUGGCAAUCCAUGCUUGGUACAUUUUUAAAAUGUUUACCGAUCUCCCACCACCUAUGUUGCUUUCAAUGACAUGGGCACUUAAAUGAGUUGUACUUGGACCUAAAUCUGCUAGCAGAAAAAACUAGAAAGAAAAUUUUCAAAGGAAUUUAAUGUGAGGAACUAAAAAAACUGCACUUUAUCUCAUUGAAAUAAAAUGGAGGUCAGAGGAUGUGCGGAAUGAGUUUUGGUUCCUGUCACAUUUCUUUCCAACAUCUACUUUGUUAACUGGAGUACAUUUGAUUACUUUGGUAAUUCCCAAAGUUUUAUGCAUCAAGAGGCUGAAGGACUGCAGAAAUGAAGAAUUCUUCCUACCCUUGUGGCCUGUGCUAAAAUGAAGCACAACUGUAGUGUGUAUUUCUUCAAAGAACGAUAAAUACUUAUUACCUGCAACAAUGUUUAUAAUGACAUUUUCAUAAAACUUUGAAGUCUAGCAUUGUCAAUUGAUUCGUAGGUUGAAAUUCGGCUUAACGCGUAUUCUACAGUUAAGUACUGACAGGUGACAUGUAUAAAGUUGAAUUUAUGUGUGGUGAUGACACAAACUUAUGGAGAUUUGCUGGCAAAAAGUUGAUUCCUUCAACAGAAGUGAUUUUAAAACUCUCUGCUGCCAGUGUAUUUUUGUACCUCUUUCUGUUAAGGAACAACCAAUCUUAAUGUUGUUCUUUGAUGGAUCUGGAUUAUUGGCGAUAUUGAGAAGUAAUCCGUAACUUUCCCGUGCAUCACUUGCUGCAUCGCUAUUACGGCCAGUAAUGCAAUCCGACACCUGGAGCCAUGUACCAAGAAAUACGAAAGUCAUGUCCAUCAGCUCAAUCUGCCAAACCUAAAAAAAGCCGACGAUGUUAUGUGACUAAGCAAUCCAAGUAGCCGAAGAUGCUGCAAGCUACUUUAUCUUGUGUCCGGAGCAUUGUUUUCUAGUUAGGCCAAUGACACUGACGUAUGCGGAUAUCCUUAAGUACGAGAAUCUGGCGCCCGCUCGGACGUGAUAAGAUUGUGCUCAUGCUGGUAAGCGGCGGAGUGGAUUCCGCCAUUUGUGCUGCCCUUCUACAUAAAGCACUUAUACAGGGUGACGACUCUUCGAGAGUGCAGGCCAUCCAUAUCGAUAACGGUUUCCUGCGUAAAGACGAAUCCGAGCAGGUCGUCACUAGUUUACAGCAACUUGGGCUCAAUCUUCGGGUAAUUUGAGAUGCUUUUCUGGACCAUUCAGAAUCUUAUUAUUGGCCAAAAUUUCCAAAAUACGUCGUCCUGUCACAUCUCAAAUUCUACGGUUUAUAAUACUUGUUCUAUGACCGAGUUCUUUUACAGACAGUGGCUUCUCAUUUCUUCUUCAUACCAGCGAUCAGAUUUGAUAUUUCGAAUUGUUUUAUGUUGUUGAAGUAAGUUUGACUUUCCGCGAUACCUCCACCAACGUGCAUGGUCGCCAAACUUUGUCGUUGUGAUUGACAGUAAAGACUUAUCAUAACGAUUCCGAAAUUGUUCAUCAGUUGCGCCUUCACGGCCGUGUAGUAGAACCUCUGGAAGACUUCCAUAAAGAUGAAGUAAGAGCCUUAUGUCGCGAGCUGGAUCCGCCCGCAGAAUUACAGGAACGUCACCCGUUUCCUGGUCCCGGUUUGUCAAUUCGAAUCAUUUACGCCGAAGGACCGGUGCUGAUUCGUUUGAUGGUCCAUUAUGCCAACAUAGCAGCCAAGGAACAUGUCUUGCCCAAUCGGAUUGAAAUCGUGACGUCGGAAGAAGAGCGUCUUAUCUGGAAGAACUGUCCAGUCACAACCAGUAUGUUGCCACGCUACUGCCUAUUCGCACUGUCGGUGUUCAGGUACAGGAGGUUGCAGAAAAAUGUCUCGGGUAUGGAAAACAAAGCAUAGGGAAAACCGCCACAUUUUUCUGCAACAAUGCCUUUUGGCAUGCAGGAAGAAUAGCGGAGACGACUAUGAUAAAACGAAAUCAAAGUGGUUUUAUCACAACCACUUCAGAGAAAAGUUGGGCUUAUUUUUUAAAACUGAAUGGAAAACAUUUCUGCCGAUGGAUGGAUGUAUGUGAAUCAAAUCCCAUCAGAGGUAAAAAGUACACAAUAUGUUUGCUGAUUCACUUUAUUGACGUUAAUAGUUUACAAGCGUUUUGGUAAUUUACGUUGGGCUACUUUAAAUUAUCAUUACAAGUGUGAACAAGUUA
Molecule: RNA transcript, 3521 nt
Organism: Daphnia magna
Lineage: Eukaryota; Metazoa; Arthropoda; Branchiopoda; Diplostraca; Daphniidae
Exons: 9
Source: RefSeq, a predicted model, not a curated record